RNAcentral lists this long non-coding RNA (1758 nucleotides) under Sus scrofa (pig). Its description in RNAcentral is "lncRNA (ENSSSCG00015080892.1)". The record is from RNAcentral. Lineage: Eukaryota; Metazoa; Chordata; Mammalia; Artiodactyla; Suidae.
UUUUUUUUUCCUUUUUGGAACACAUAUGCAAUAUAUGGAAGCUUCUGGGCUAGGGAUUGAAUCAGAGCUGCAGCUGCUGGCUUAAGUCGCAGCAAUAUAGAUUUAAGCUGCAUGUGCAACCUAAACAACAGCUUGUGUCAGUGCCAGAACUUUCACCCACUGGCUGAGACCAGGGAACAAACCCACAUCCUCAGGGACACUCCAUAGGGUUCUUUUUCUUUUUUUAGGACCUCACCCAUGGUAUAUGGAAGUUCCCAGGUUAGGGGUCAAAUCAGAGUGAGGCCCGGGAUCAACCCACAAGUUCAUGGAUACUAGUCAGAUUCGUUUCCCCUGUGCCACAAGGGGAACUCUGUACGUUGGGUUCUUAAUGCACUGAGCCACAACAGACACUCCAGAAAUAGAUUUCCAAAAACAAAAAAAAGAAUAUUUUCUGCUUCAAGCACUCUUAUAUUUGUGAACCAAACAUUUUCAUAGAUACAGUGUGAUGACUAAUUAUCUGACUGACGUCUAACCAAAUAUGUGCUAUUUGGAAUGUGUUUUAGUCGAUACUUCACAUCUACUAUUAUGGGUGAUUUUGAUAUAAAUCUCAUCCAAAAGUGAAAACACAGAACACACUUCUGAGAAGCUUCAGGUUAAAAAGGACACAUUUAGAAAAGGAUGGUUCUUCAGGAAUCAAAGAAGAAUGAAGACUUUUAAUGAUUGUGGGGUAUAAGCUGUAUUCCACUGUGCAUUAAUUUAGUGAAGAAUUCUAUGAGUAAUUAGACAUAGUCUUACACCACUGAUAAGGGGAAAAUACACUUAACAUGUCACAGGUUAGUUCCUCCCAAAAUAAGGAUAUAAUGAAAUAAAUUUGAGGGUUACAUUUAGGAAGGUGCAUUAUGCUUUGACACAGUUACUUAGUCUGAACCUUCUAGGGUCAUGUUCCAAGGUUCCAUGGGAUUGGACAUUUAAAAGCAGAAAACAUACACUAUCUGUCCCCAUUGCUCUUAGAAUGUUGGCACCAAAUUCCAGUGUUUCCACGACUCUCCUCACUCACUUCUGAUUAGAUGAAGAAGCAGAGCGUGAAAAAAGACCUUAACAAAGAGUUACUAGGAAAUGUGCACAGCCUUUCCUAGCACCCAAAAGCAAUGGAAAAAAAGCCAGGUGGGAGUUCCCAUCAUGGCUCAGAGGAAACAGAUCCAACUAGUAUCCAUGAGGACAUGGAUUCAAUCCCUAGCCAUACUCAGUGGGCUAAGGAUCCAGUGUUGCCAUGAGCUGUGGUGUAGGUUGGGAAUGCUGCCAGGAUCCCAAAUUGCCAUGGAUGUGGUGCAAUGGAUGUAGACUGGCAGCUACAGCUCUGAUUCGACCCUUAGCCUGGGAACGUCCAUGUGCCCCAGGUGUGGCCCUAAAAGACUCAGAAAAGAAAAAAAAAAAUUAAAAAAACAACAAAAAAAACCCAAGAACAUCUGGGCAAGUUCCCAUUGUGGAAAAGUGGUUAAUGAAUCUAACUAGGAACCAUGAGGUUGUGGGUUCGAUCCCUGGCCUUGCUGAGUGGGUUAAGGAUCACAAGUUGCCAUGAGCUGUAGUGUAGGUAGCAGAUGUGGCUCAGAGCAUACAUUGCUGUGGCUCUGGCGUAAGCUGGUGGCUACAGCUCCGAUUUGACCCCUAGCCUGAGAAGCUCCAUAUGCCCCAGGAGCAGCACUAGAAAUGGCAAAAAGGCAAAAAAAAACCAAAAACCAAAAUAAAGAAUAGCCAAGACAUACAGGUCCUCACAGGUCA